Musa acuminata AAA Group (dessert banana) is the source of this 268-nucleotide long non-coding RNA. RefSeq lists it as uncharacterized. The transcript has 2 exons. Lineage: Eukaryota; Viridiplantae; Streptophyta; Magnoliopsida; Zingiberales; Musaceae. The record is from RefSeq and is a predicted model, not a curated record.
GUCUUGAGUAGGUGGCAGCUUAUAUAGCUAUUUAUUAUCACCACAUCAAAUACUCUUGAUCUAGAUCUCCAAUUCUAGCAGGAUCAGUCUGGUUAGUUGCCCUUGCUGCUCAGGAUGUUUGGGCAAUUCUAGAUGACGGGCACAUAUCCACAAUCUACUAUUGAUGAAGUACAAGAUUGUAAAUUUAUGUUCCUAAAGGAUAUAACAAGAAGUCUUACAUAAGGCUAUAAUAAACCAUGUGGAAUCAGAACCUUCUUAUUACUUGUCC